UGGUGGGUAGUUUGACUGGGGCGGUCUCCUCCUAAAGAGUAACGGAGGAGCACGAAGGUUGGCUAAUCCUGGUCGGACAUCAGGAGGUUAGUGCAAUGGCAUAAGCCAGCUUGACUGCGAGCGUGACGGCGCGAGCAGGUGCGAAAGCAGGUCAUAGUGAUCCGGUGGUUCUGAAUGGAAGGGCCAUCGCUCAACGGAUAAAAGGUACUCCGGGGAUAACAGGCUGAUACCGCCCAAGAGUUCAUAUCGACGGCGGUGUUUGGCACCUCGAUGUCGGCUCAUCACAUCCUGGGGCUGAAGUAGGUCCCAAGGGUAUGGCUGUUCGCCAUUUAAAGUGGUACGCGAGCUGGGUUUAGAACGUCGUGAGACAGUUCGGUCCCUAUCUGCCGUGGGCGCUGGAGAACUGAGGGGGGCUGCUCCUAGUACGAGAGGACCGGAGUGGACGCAUCACUGGUGUUCGGGUUGUCAUGCCAAUGGCACUGCCCGGUAGCUAAAUGCGGAAGAGAUAAGUGCUGAAAGCAUCUAAGCACGAAACUUGCCCCGAGAUGAGUUCUCCCUGAGACUUUA
Molecule: ribosomal RNA, 567 nt
Filed under: Salmonella enterica subsp. enterica serovar Infantis
Lineage: Bacteria; Pseudomonadati; Pseudomonadota; Gammaproteobacteria; Enterobacterales; Enterobacteriaceae
Also listed under: 11 other names
Description: partial 23S ribosomal RNA
Rfam family: Bacterial large subunit ribosomal RNA
Source: RNAcentral